This 543-nucleotide ribosomal RNA is filed under the name uncultured archaeon. RNAcentral's name for it is "bacterial SSU rRNA". It matches the Rfam family "Bacterial small subunit ribosomal RNA", at positions 509 to 1050 of the family's 1533-position model. The record is from RNAcentral.
CAGCCGCCGCGGUAAUACGUAGGUGGCAAGCGUUGUCCGGAUUUAUUGGGCGUAAAGCGAGUGCAGGCGGUUCAAUAAGUCUAAUGUGAAAGCCUUCGGCUUAACCGGAGAAUUGCAUCGGAAACUGUUGAACUUGAGUGCAGAAGAGGAGAGUGGAACUCCAUGUGUAGCGGUGGAAUGCGUAGAUAUAUGGAAGAACACCAGUGGCGAAGGCGGCUCUCUGGUCUGUAACUGACGCUGAGGCUCGAAAGCAUGGGUAGCGAACAGGAUUAGAUACCCUGGUAGUCCAUGCCGUAAACGAUGAGUGCUAAGUGUUGGGAGGUUUCCGCCUCUCAGUGCUGCAGCUAACGCAUUAAGCACUCCGCCUGGGGAGUACGACCGCAAGGUUGAAACUCAAAGGAAUUGACGGGGGCCCGCACAAGCGGUGGAGCAUGUGGUUUAAUUCGAAGCAACGCGAAGAACCUUACCAGGUCUUGACAUCUAGUGCCAUCCUAAGAGAUUAGGAGUUCCCUUCGGGGACGCUAAGACAGGAGGUGCAUGGCC